Molecule: ribosomal RNA, 530 nt
Filed under: Hypocreales sp.
Lineage: Eukaryota; Fungi; Ascomycota; Sordariomycetes; Hypocreales
Description: eukaryotic LSU rRNA
Rfam family: Eukaryotic large subunit ribosomal RNA
Source: RNAcentral
CAUAUCAAUAAGCGGAGGAAAAGAAACCAACAGGGAUUGCCCCAGUAACGGCGAGUGAAGCGGCAACAGCUCAAAUUUGAAAUCUGGCCCCUAGGGUCCGAGUUGUAAUUUGUAGAGGAUGCUUUUGGUGAGGUGCCGCCCGAGUUCCCUGGAACGGGACGCCGCAGAGGGUGAGAGCCCCGUCUGGCUGGCCACCGAGCCUCUGUAAAGCUCCUUCGACGAGUCGAGUAGUUUGGGAAUGCUGCUCAAAAUGGGAGGUAUAUGUCUUCUAAAGCUAAAUAUUGGCCAGAGACCGAUAGCGCACAAGUAGAGUGAUCGAAAGAUGAAAAGCACCUUGAAAAGAGGGUUAAACAGUACGUGAAAUUGUUGAAAGGGAAGCGCUUGUGACCAGACUUGGGCGCGGCGGAUCAUCCGGGGUUCUCUCCGGUGCACUUCGCCGCGUUCAGGCCAGCAUCAGUUCGGCGCGGGGGAAAAAGGCUUCGGGAACGUGGCUCCUCCGGGAGUGUUAUAGCCCGUUGCAUAAUACCCUG